UCGGGAAUUUUGGGCAAUGGGCGAAAGCCUGACCCAGCAACGCCGCGUGUGUGAAGAAGGUCUUCGGAUUGUAAAGCACUUUAAGUUGGGAGGAAGGGCAGUAAGUUAAUACCUUGCUGUUUUGACGUUACCGACAGAAUAAGCACCGGCUAACUCUGUGCCAGCAGCCGCGGUAAUACAGAGGGUGCAAGCGUUAAUCGGAAUUACUAGGCGUAAAGCGCGCGUAGGUGGUUAGUUAAGUUGGAUGUGAAAUCCCCGGGCUCAACCUGGGAACUGCAUUCAAAACUGACUGACUAGAGUAUGGUAGAGGGUGGUGGAAUUUCCUGUGUAGCGGUGAAAUGCGUAGAUAUAGGAAGGAACACCAGUGGCGAAGGCGACCACCUGGACUGAUACUGACACUGAGGUGCGAAAGCGUGGGGAGCAAACAGGAUUAGAUACCCCAGUAGUCCCUGAGCGGGCUGGCAAGGCGCAU
This 472-nucleotide ribosomal RNA is filed under the name uncultured bacterium. RNAcentral describes it as "bacterial SSU rRNA". It matches the Rfam family "Bacterial small subunit ribosomal RNA", at positions 355 to 825 of the family's 1533-position model. The record is from RNAcentral.